Molecule: ribosomal RNA, 213 nt
Filed under: Escherichia albertii
Lineage: Bacteria; Pseudomonadati; Pseudomonadota; Gammaproteobacteria; Enterobacterales; Enterobacteriaceae
Description: partial 16S ribosomal RNA
Rfam family: Bacterial small subunit ribosomal RNA
Source: RNAcentral
GAGGAAGGGAGUAAAGUUAAUACCUUUGCUCAUUGACGUUACCCGCAGAAGAAGCACCGGCUAACUCCGUGCCAGCAGCCGCGGUAAUACGGAGGGUGCAAGCGUUAAUCGGAAUUACUGGGCGUAAAGCGCACGCAGGCGGUUUGUUAAGUCAGAUGUGAAAUCCCCGGGCUCAACCUGGGAACUGCAUCUGAUACUGGCAAGCUUGAGUCU